Molecule: transfer RNA, 74 nt
Filed under: compost metagenome
Description: tRNA-Gln
Rfam family: tRNA
About the family: Transfer RNA (tRNA) molecules are approximately 80 nucleotides in length. Their secondary structure includes four short double-helical elements and three loops (D, anti-codon, and T loops).
Source: RNAcentral
UUGCUCCUUAGCCAAAUGGUAAGGCAUUGGACUUUGAAUCCAUGAACCCAGGUUCGAACCCUGGAGGAGUAGUC